CGUAGGGUGCGAGCGUUGUCCGGAAUUAUUGGGCGUAAAGAGCUCGUAGGCGGUUUGUCGCGUCGACUGUGAAAACUGGGGGCUUAACUCUCAGCUUGCAGUCGAUACGGGCAGACUUGAGUUCGGUAGGGGAGACUGGAAUUCCUGGUGUAGCGGUGAAAUGCGCAGAUAUCAGGAGGAACACCGGUGGCGAAGGCGGGUCUCUGGGCCGAUACUGACGCUGAGGAGCGAAAGCGUGGGGAGCGAACAGGAUUAGAUACCCUGGUAGUCCACGCUGUAAACGUUGGGCGCUAGGUGUGGGGAGCAUUCACGCUUUCCGUGCCGUAGCUAACGCAUUAAGCGCCCCGCCUGGGGAGUACGGCCGCAAGGCUA
This 372-nucleotide ribosomal RNA is filed under the name uncultured organism. RNAcentral's name for it is "bacterial SSU rRNA". It matches the Rfam family "Bacterial small subunit ribosomal RNA", at positions 526 to 896 of the family's 1533-position model. The record is from RNAcentral.